Cercocebus atys (sooty mangabey) is the source of this 3855-nucleotide long non-coding RNA. RefSeq lists it as uncharacterized. The record is from RefSeq and is a predicted model, not a curated record. NCBI's taxonomy places the organism in Eukaryota, Metazoa, Chordata, Mammalia, Primates, Cercopithecidae. The transcript is spliced from 7 exons.
UUCUGUUGAAGGUGGGGAGGUAGUUUUUUUUUUUUUAAUUUUCUUUUUAGGGUCUGUGCAGAGGAGAAAGACUAUGGCUGGUGGUUACUAGCUAUUUCCUGUUCUCGAUCUUAACAUUGGUCUGUUUAUUCUGUUCUCAGGCACCUUCUGUCCAUCGCUCUGUCAAGGGAAAGUGCUUUGAAUCAGUGGAUUUAUAAUAUUUUUGACGUCUAAUAAUGGAUGGAAAAAAAUGGAUGUUGGCAUCAUUUCUACCACAGCAACAAGAGCAAAGAUGGACUCCAGAAAGUCAAAACAUCAAGGAAUAUUUGCCAUUUCUUUAGGAAUCUCAUGAUUUUCCCUUUUUGGAACUUCUGUCAACAUGCUUCUGGAUGGUUCUUCUGCUACAUGUUGUGUCGGCUGGGGUUCCUCAGAUUCAGGGGUACAUGUACAGGUUUGUUACAAGAGUCUAUUGUGUGAUGCUGAAGUUUGGAGUACAAUUGAACCCAUCACCCAGCUAGUGAGCAUGAUAUUGAAUAGAGUCACGGAGAAGAGGAGACAGCAUGUGCAAGGGAAUGAAGAAAAGGACCAAGACUAUUUUCAAAUCACCCAUGGCACUACUAGAAAAGUAUUUCAGCAAAAAGACUGGCUGAUUUUAUGAUUCCUGUGUCCACCACACCCCUCUAAUUUUUACAUAGGUACCCCACAUCUCUCCAGAUUUCAGGAAGACUAUUAUUCUUUGACUUUAGCUUUCUGAUGGGUUCACAAAAAGCUGUUAGUGUGCUGUUGGUCCAGCUUUUUUCUUGUUGCAAAUAUGAGAGCUACAGUUCUGAGAUAAAACCACAGGAAACUGAGGCACAAAGAAUUUGAGUGACUUGCCCAAGGUCAUACAACUAACAAAUGUUGGAACUGAGACUCCAGUACAGGAAAUCUGAUUCUAUAGUCUGUCUUUAUUAUAUAAAUAAAGUGAGACUAUCACUUUUUCACAUGUUAAAAGGAAUCCAGUUGAACAAAGAAAGAACAUGCUGUAAGAAAUAGUUCAAUAGCAGAAGAUCCUUUAAUAGUAUGUGAAAGGAGAAAUAUUCUCAUAUUGAUGAAAAGAAGAAAAGAAUAGGAAACCUGUGAGGAUUUUAGAGCACCCUGACCAUCUGACCCAGGCAGACACUUCUAAGAGCUGCAUGGAACUGUAUCUAAGGUUGACAGGAAUAAAACUGUCCAUCUUAUCUUACUUUUCUUGUACGUACCCUUGGACUCCUCUCUAUUAUUCACUGGCAACUCCAGUUCUUGAACUCUAAAAAUUCCACCAAUGCUAUUUGAGCAUUGAGAAAAGAUACUUUUCAUUUUAAGUUACAUCUUCCCACUGUUUGUAGAUGUUAUGUGUAUUCCAUUGCUAAGGAAUCAUUCUCUUUGCCUGAGGAAAAAGACAGUUUAAAAAUAACUUGUGUUGUGAUUAGAAAAGUCUUUGUAUACAGAUACCUGAAAGAGAGAGAAUGCACGGGCACUUGUAUAACACAUGAUGGGUGAUAGUUUUCAACUGUGCUUGGGGGGAAACAUUUUGUUUUGUAUAGAAAUAAAGUGUAGACAAGAAAAAAAGGGAUAUGUUAAUGUGAGGCAUAUUGGAAUGUAUUUAAGUAUAUCUGUUGUUAACAAACUGGAUAAAUCCACUAAAUAGAUAAUAUAUAAAAUUUACAGGUUGCAGGUGGCCAUAGGUCCUCUUUUUUACCUGUUAGUGAUGGUGGUAGAGGGGAAGGCAGGCAUAGGGGAGUAAGGGAAAUAGUAUUUCCACCGGGAGAAUUUUGAACCUGAAAUGUAAGAAAAAUUGUAUUUUCUAUUGAUACCAGUUAUGCUUCAUACAGAUAUUGAGUAAUUUUCAAGUUAUUGGUUGUAAGGCCCUACUAUAGUGUUGACUCUAUACCCUUUACCAUAUGCCCAGUAAGGGGUGCAUUUGGACAUCUUAAUGUGAGUCCAAGAAUUCCAGGGAAUUCAGGAUAUUUUGCAGCAUCAUUCUUUAUUUCAAAGUCUAGUCUAGACUUUUAAAUAUUUGAAUAUAUUGGACUGUAAACAAAACAACAUCUUGUUGAAAAGAACAACCGUCUCCAUGCAACCUGAAUGGAUGGAAGCAGUAUUAUCUUUAGUCCAAAUCUGAAACAAAAUCUGCUUCACUAAACUUUCUUGCAGACAAGCAGACUGCUUUGUUUGAAAAUGUGAGAUUGGAAAAUCUGGCUGGAAGUUUUACCUUAAAAUUUUUUCUUCCUAUGGGGAGGGCAUGGGCUCUCUGGUGACUCUUUGUUCUGGCAGCAGGAGGAAGGACAUGGCGCUGGUGUCCCGGCUGGAGGAGCCAAGGGUUACCCGGUACCUUUUAUUUUCACAUUAAAACACUAUAGAGGAAAGGAUCUGGCUCUCCACCUUUUAAUAUUGCUCAGUCAUUUCUUUUUACUUUUUGCUUCAGUGAGCACAGUAUGUGGUUUGCUAGGGAAGCUAUUAAAAAGAAAACCCUUCAGUUUUAUGGAUUUUGGCAAAAUCUAUAGUCAAUGCAUGUUUUUUAAUUCCUUCACAACUACUCUAAUUCUCUAAACCUUGGUGAGGGCAUGCUCAAAAAUUGGCUCAUAAUUUGUAAUUUAACAAGUGACAGAAUGUUUUGACAUUAGCAAAUGAAGGGAAAUGUUUUAUAUAACAAACCAUGAUCAUGGCUUUCCAGUUUGGUCAUUUGUACUGAGCAGAUUGUCACAAUCAAAGCCCGGGCCAUUAGAAGCCUAGGCCAGUUUUGUUGAAAGUUUCUGGGUAACUAAGAUCAUUCAGGCUUGGCCUUGGAGUAUAUUUAGAUUAAAGUGGUUAUCCCCUCUUUGUGUUCAGAAUGCCCACCCCUCUCCCAUCUUUCUUUUUGCUCUAACUUAUAAACUUGUUUGCAUGUGUAUUUAUAAUUUGUAGUCUAUAUUCACCUCUGGGUUUUAACUUCCUGCAUUUCAUUUCUUAAGAAUCCUUCUCAGCAUUUCACCAUCUCCUAAGUGUUAGUGAGUAAAGGAUAGCAAGAAACUUGACAGAGAAGGUGCUAGUGGGUCAGGGAAAAGUCCAGUGUAGAGGCUAUAGUCUUAUGGGAUGGUAGAGGCCAUACUUCUGGUGACUGUAUUCAUCAUCCACUUGGAUUCUCUCUCGCACAAAGUCUGAUUUAGGGUAGAUAGUGUCAUCUUUUAGUUGGCUUAGAAAAGCUUGACCCCAAAUGUACUCUGAGAAGUCCUUAAAAAGAAAUGUAUAAUAAUCCAGUAAUUCUCUAGAUAGGAAACUUAAAAUUCUGUAGGAAGUAUGUGUAACAUACAGAAAUAAGUGAAGUGGAUGACAAUGAAACUAACAUUGCUUUUUAAAUCACUGUAUGUGCAUAAAAUACACAUGCAUAAAUAAGGCCCACUGGCUGGCUGAGUAUGACUCAUGUUUUAUACUCAUUUUGUUUUCUUGAAAUAAGAAAGCUUAACUGGGUAAUAAAGCUCCCUCUCUUCUGGUCCCUGAGAAACCAACCUCCCAGCUGCAGGUCCCAUUUUUAGCUUGGACAAAUCUCAUCUUAUUUAACCAAUCUUUCCAUAAGUGGCUGAGUUGAGGAAGUUAUUACUUUCUGUGGUCUAAAUUGCCUAACAGAAAGUCGUUUUACCUAAAUCCUAGGACCCCUGUGGGAAAAUCCCAAUUGGUUACUGUGCUUGUAAACUAAAUAUAGUUUAGUUUUGUCUGUCUCCUCCUUAUAAGCAGAACUAGUUUUAAGAUCUUCACUCACAUCACCUUAAACUUGAAAAUUUCCUGUUUGUUAUUGCGAGAAAAGCAACUCAAUUCUCCUAUUUCUUUUUUUUAUUUAUUUUUUAUUAUACUUUAAGUUCUAGGGUACAUGUGGAUAAC